This 433-nucleotide ribosomal RNA is filed under the name uncultured bacterium. RNAcentral's name for it is "partial 16S ribosomal RNA". It matches the Rfam family "Bacterial small subunit ribosomal RNA", at positions 29 to 507 of the family's 1533-position model. The record is from RNAcentral.
GCGAACGCUGGCGGCAGGCCUAACACAUGCAAGUCGAACGAACCUUUCGGGGUUAGUGGCGGACGGGUGAGUAACACGUGGGAACGUGCCUUUAGGUUCGGAAUAACUCAGGGAAACUUGUGCUAAUACCGAAUGUGCCCUUCGGGGGAAAGAUUAAUCGCCUUUAGAGCGGCCCGCGUCUGAUUAGCUAGUUGGUUGAGGUAAUGGCUCACCAAGGCGACGAUCAGUAGCUGGUCUGAGAGGAUGAUCAGCCACAUUGGGACUGAGACACGGCCCAAACUCCUACGGGAGGCAGCAGUGGGGAAUCUUGCGCAAUGGGCGAAAGACUGACGCAGCCAUGCCGCGUGAAUGAUGAAGGUCUUAGGAUUGUAAAAUUCUUUCACCGGGGACGAUAAUGACGGUACCCGGAGAAGAAGCCCCGGCUAACUUCGUG